AGUGAACGCUGGCGGUAGGCCUAACACAUGCAAGUCGAACGGCAGCACAGUAAGAGCUUGCUCUUACGGGUGGCGAGUGGCGGACGGGUGAGGAAUACAUCGGAAUCUACUUUUUCGUGGGGGAUAACGUAGGGAAACUUACGCUAAUACCGCAUACGACCUGCGGGUGAAAGCAGGGGAUCUUCGGACCUUGCGCGAUUGAAUGAGCCGAUGUCGGAUUAGCUAGUUGGCGGGGUAAAGGCCCACCAAGGCGACGAUCCGUAGCUGGUCUGAGAGGAUGAUCAGCCAAAAUGGAACUGAGACACGGUCCAGACUCCUACGGGAGGCAGCAGUGGGGAAUAUUGGACAAUGGGCGCAAGCCUGAUCCAGCCAUACCGCGUGGGUGAAGAAGGCCUUCGGGUUGUAAAGCCCUUUUGUUGGGAAAGAAAAGCAGCAGGUUAAUACCCCGCUGUUCUGACGGUACCCAAAGAAUAAGCACCGGCUAACUUCGUG
RNAcentral lists this ribosomal RNA (492 nucleotides) under uncultured bacterium. Its description in RNAcentral is "partial 16S ribosomal RNA". It matches the Rfam family "Bacterial small subunit ribosomal RNA", at positions 29 to 507 of the family's 1533-position model. The record is from RNAcentral.